CAGCAGCCACGGUAAUACGUAGGGUGCAAGCGUUACUCGGAAUUACUGGGCGUGAAGCGUGCGUAGGUGGUGGUUUAAGUCCGUUGUGAAAGCCCUGGGCUCAACCUGGGAAUUGCAGUGGAUACUGGAUCACUAGAGUGUGGUAGAGGAUAGUGGAAUUUCCGGUGUAGCAGUGAAAUGCGUAGAGAUCGGAGGGAACAUCUGUGGCGAAGGCGACUAUCUGGGCCAACACUGACACUGAGGCACGAAAGCGUGGGGAGCAAACAGGAUUAGAUACCCCUGUAGUCCCUGUCUCUUAUAC
This 301-nucleotide ribosomal RNA is filed under the name uncultured bacterium. RNAcentral describes it as "partial 16S ribosomal RNA". It matches the Rfam family "Bacterial small subunit ribosomal RNA", at positions 509 to 807 of the family's 1533-position model. The record is from RNAcentral.